Molecule: transfer-messenger RNA, 336 nt
Filed under: bacterium
Lineage: Bacteria
Rfam family: transfer-messenger RNA
About the family: Bacterial tmRNA, also known as 10Sa RNA or SsrA, is named for its dual tRNA and mRNA-like properties. Its role is to liberate the mRNA from a stalled ribosome. To accomplish this part of the tmRNA is used as a reading frame that ends in a translation stop signal.
Source: RNAcentral
GGGGAUGACGGGCUUCGACAGAAUAAUCUUCUGGUGCGUUGCAGGUCGAGUGCCUAACUCGUACUCUAGGCAAAAACAUAACUGCUAAAUCUAAAUUAGCACCUGCUUUCGCUUUUGCUUAAGUAGGUCUUGUCUGAUCAUUUAGUAUCAGUCCAUCGGCGUGUUGAGGUUCCAUAGGCACAUCACCGGUGUUAUAUCUGGAAAUCGUUCUGGAAAGUUGAUCUUGUAUCUAGAAUUAAAUCUUAAGAUCACUCGUUCUAUUCAUUUAGAUCUAAACUUGUAGAUUGCGUAUUAGAACUAUUCUGUACGUGGGUUCAACUCCCACCAUCUCCACCA